GGGUGAAUAAGAAGUGGGAGAAGAGGAACAUCAAGAAGAUAGAGAGAGCAUAUCAGAGAGAAGCUGAGGAGGGCUAUAAGAUCGUCCACAUAGAUGGCCAGCAGGAGGGGCCAAGGAGGCCACAGGCCAUGGGCAGAGAACCAGGAGGGGAGUUCAGAGAACCAGCAGGAGUGGCCAGAGAACCAACAGGGGGGGCCAGACAGCCAGCACCUAGAAGCUCCAGAAGAGGCUGAAACAUCAGAGCCAACCUCCAAGAACAAGAAAAGGCCAYGCAUCUGGAAGAGAAUUAAGAUGGGCAUUCCUGACGUGCUGUCUGCCUAGAGCUGGAACUCGAAGAAGCCACAGUUCCACUGAGGCUACGUUGGUCAUUAAAAGUGUCGCCCAAUAAUUCUUCCUCCUCUUUAAGUCAUCAAGCCACAUUUCCUCCACAAAACAUUAUCGUCUCCUCAAGCCAGCAAGUAUCCUCUUUAUCAGGCAACAAACCAUCGAAGGUCAGUGACCCUCCUCCCCAGAGCAGAGGUUCUCAUCUUUAWCCUAAUUAAAUUCAUCUCUGCUCACCACCUCUACUGUCCUAGAAAAUAUCCCAAAAAUGGAAAUGGUUUAAACAGAAGUCCUCCCCUCAGACCAGUGGCUCCACAAACCAGAGUUUCUCAUCUUUAUUCAAGUUGAACGCAACUCUGAUCAUUUCCACCACCUCACCUGUUAAGGGGAGGUGCUGAAAAGGAGGUCUGGGAGGAGGUCUGCA
Molecule: long non-coding RNA, 745 nt
Organism: Salvelinus sp. IW2-2015
Lineage: Eukaryota; Metazoa; Chordata; Actinopteri; Salmoniformes; Salmonidae
Source: RefSeq, a predicted model, not a curated record